Molecule: RNA transcript, 1946 nt
Organism: Cucurbita maxima (winter squash)
Lineage: Eukaryota; Viridiplantae; Streptophyta; Magnoliopsida; Cucurbitales; Cucurbitaceae
Gene name: UDP-rhamnose/UDP-galactose transporter 3-like
Exons: 7
Source: RefSeq, a predicted model, not a curated record
AAUCAGGUGUAGGAAGCCAGGGAAAAAGCUCCCAGUCAGUACUUUCUUUGUUAAUGAAGUCGUCUGGUCCUUAGGGUGGGCGCCUAGUCAAUUGUAUCCAUAACAUUGAAGUUUAUCACAUGCCUAGAGGCGAAGUAGAAACUAGAGAGCCAAGUCUCAAGUCAUAAAGUAGAAACCAUAUAAGUUUAUAGACGUCUUCAGUUUUAGUCAAGUUUUAAAUGAUGUACUUAGGCUCUUUAUCAAAGUCUGCUUUAUUAAUGCAUGCAGCAACCAUGAUUGUAUUUAUGAGCGGCUAUAGGAGCUAGCAAAGCUACUUAGGAUUUGGGAAGAAACCCAAAAUCUUGAUAAAGGUGAGAGCCAUAGAAGUGUAAAGUUAAAAAAAAAAACUUGUCUCCUUCUUCACUCCACCUUAAAAAGAAAGCCUUAUUAUGCCUUGAAAUUCGAAAACUUACAUGGGGAUUUGUGGCUUUGUUAAGUUGUUAACGUGCAGGUUGCCCCAAAAAGCAGCAAAAUCCAAUUGAAUUGAAGAAGCUGAAGCCGGGAGGCAUUGAGAGUGGACUUUUGAUUUUUGCAGCAACAAGUUAGUGGGAAAAAGAUUCAAACGACGAGCAUUUAAAAACAUGCCUUUACUAGCAGCCUUUCUUAUGAAUUUGGGAGCAAUAUCUUCGAACAAAGACAAAUCGCCCAAAAGGAGCAAGUUUUUUGGUCUGGAUUUGAAGAAGAAGAAGAAAAGGGUCAUGGAGGAGAGAAAGUCCUCUGUAUCAGAUGUUGGAGCUUGGGGUAUGAACAUAAUCAGCUCAGUGGGAAUUAUCAUGGUCAACAAGCAGCUCAUGUCCCAAACUGGCUUCGCCUUUUCCUUUGCUACAACGUUAACUGGAUUUCACUUUUCUGUGACUGCGUUGGUGGGCUGGAUUUCAAAUGCCUCUGGCUAUUCUGAAUCCAAAUCUGUUCCCUUCUGGGAGCUUCUUUGGUUCUCAAUUAUCGCCAACACGUCGAUAACAGCCAUGAACUUCAGCCUCAUGUUAAACUCUGUUGGAUUUUAUCAGAUAUCAAAGCUAAGCAUGAUACCUGUGGUGUGUGUCAUGGAGUGGAUUCUUCAUGGAAAACAAUACUCUAGGGAAGUGAAGAUGGCCGUUGUUGUGGUCGUUGUCGGUGUCGGUGUCUGUACAGUGACUGAUGUGAAAGUUAAUGCCAAAGGCUUUCUCUGUGCCUUAGUAGCAAUCUUAUGCACAUCACUGCAACAAAUUUCUAUAGGUUCAUUACAGAAGAAGUACUCAAUAGGAUCCUUUGAAUUACUAAGCAAGACAGCUCCCAUCCAAGCACUUUCCCUUCUAACAGUUGGCCCAUUCAUUGACUACUGCCUUACUAGUAAAUCUCUACUGAAAUACAACUACGCUUUUAGUGCAUUUUGCUUCAUAUUACUGUCAUGCUCCCUAGCUGUGUUCUGCAACAUCAGUCAAUAUUUAUGCAUCGGGCGCUUCUCAGCUGUAUCGUUCCAGGUUUUAGGCCAUAUGAAGACGGUAUGCGUCCUGAUGUUGGGGUGGCUGCUGUUCGAUUCAGAGAUGACAUUGAAAAACAUAUCAGGGAUGGUUCUUGCCAUUAUUGGGAUGGUGGUGUAUAGCUGGGCCGUUGAGAUUGAGAAGCAAGCCAAUGCAAUGUCCAUCCCUCAGCCAAAGAGCCAACUUUCAGAUGAGGAGUUGAUGCUGUUGAAGGAGGGGAUGGAUGACAGUAGUUUGAGAGAUGAAGAGCUUGGUCAGCUCCCAAAAUGAUAUGAAUCAGUUUCUCUUUUUUUCUGUACUUUUUUUUCCUUUUUGCUCUGCCAUUUGUUACCCACCAAUGUGGAUUUUAAGUCCCCUAAAUGGUUAUUCUAGAUUGUGAAAUUUGUAUUUGAAUAAAAGUAUUUGAAAUUGUCGCUGUAAAUCAUAAUAUCAAUGAAUUGGAAUCUU